Molecule: ribosomal RNA, 440 nt
Filed under: uncultured bacterium
Lineage: Bacteria
Description: partial 16S ribosomal RNA
Rfam family: Bacterial small subunit ribosomal RNA
Source: RNAcentral
CCUACGGGAGGCAGCAGUGGGGGAUAUUGCACAAUGGGGGGAACCCUGAUGCAGCGACGCCGCGUGGGUGAAGAAGCGCCUCGGCGCGUAAAGCCCUGUCAGCAGGGAAGAAAAUGACGGUACCUGAAGAAGAAGCCCCGGCUAACUACGUGCCAGCAGCCGCGGUAAUACGUAGGGGGCAAGCGUUAUCCGGAUUUACUGGGUGUAAAGGGGGCGCAGACGGCGAUGCAAGCCAGGAGUGAAAGCCCGUGGCCCAACCCCGGGACUGCUCUUGGAACUGCGUGGCUGGAGGGCAGGAGGGGCAGGCGGAAUUCCUGGUGUAGCGGUGAAAUGCGUAGAUAUCAGGAGGAACACCGGUGGCGAAGGCGGCCUGCUGGACUGCAACUGACGUUGAGGCCCGAAAGCGUGGGGAGCAAACAGGAUUAGAUACCCGUGUAGUC